GACGAACGCUGGCGGCGUGCUUAACACAUGCAAGUCGAACGGCAAGGCCCUGCUUUUGUGGGGUGCUCGAGUGGCGAACGGGUGAGUAACACGUGAGUAACCUGCCCUUGACUUUGGGAUAACUUCAGGAAACUGGGGCUAAUACCGGAUAGGAGCUCCUGCUGCAUGGUGGGGGUUGGAAAGUUUCGGCGGUUGUGGAUGGACUCGCGGCUUAUCAGCUUGUUGGUGGGGUAGUGGCUUACCAAGGCUUUGACGGGUAGCCGGCCUGAGAGGGUGACCGGCCACAAUGGGACUGAGAUACGGCCCAGACUGCUACGGGAGGCAGCAGUGGGGAAUAUUGCACAAUGGGCGGAAGCCUGAUGCAGAAACGCCGCGUGCGGGAUGACGGCCUGCGGGUUGUAAACCGCUGUCGCCUGUGACGAAGCGGGAGUGACGGUAAUGGGUAAAGAAGCACCGGCUAACUACGUG
RNAcentral lists this ribosomal RNA (468 nucleotides) under uncultured bacterium. RNAcentral describes it as "partial 16S ribosomal RNA". It matches the Rfam family "Bacterial small subunit ribosomal RNA", at positions 28 to 507 of the family's 1533-position model. The record is from RNAcentral.